UACGUAGGGGGCUAGCGUUGUCCGGAAUUAUUGGGCGUAAAGAGCUCGUAGGCGGCCUGUUGCGUCCGCUGUGAAAGCCCGGGGCUUAACCCCGGGUCGGCAGUGGAUACGGGCAGGCUAGAGGUAGGUAGGGGAGAAUGGAAUUCCCGGUGUAGCGGUGAAAUGCGCAGAUAUCGGGAGGAACACCGGUGGCGAAGGCGGUUCUCUGGACAGUUCCUGACACUGAGACACGAAGGCCAGGGGAGCAAACGGG
This 253-nucleotide ribosomal RNA is filed under the name uncultured bacterium. RNAcentral's name for it is "partial 16S ribosomal RNA". It matches the Rfam family "Bacterial small subunit ribosomal RNA", at positions 524 to 776 of the family's 1533-position model. The record is from RNAcentral.